GGAUGAACGCUGGCGGCGUGCCUAAUACAUGCAAGUCGAGCGAACAGACGAGGAGCUUGCUCCUCUGACGUUAGCGGCGGACGGGUGAGUAACACGUGGAUAACCUACCUAUAAGACUGGGAUAACUUCGGGAAACCGGAGCUAAUACCGGAUAAUAUAUUGAACCGCAUGGUUCAAUAGUGAAGGACGGUUUUGCUGUCACUUAUAGAUGGAUCCGCGCCGCAUUAGCUAGUUGGUAAGGUAACGGCUUACCAAGGCAACGAUGCGUAGCCGACCUGAGAGGGUGAUCGGCCACACUGGAACUGAGACACGGUCCAGACUCCUACGGGAGGCAGCAGUAGGGAAUCUUCCGCAAUGGGCGAAAGCUUGACGGAGCAACGCCGCGUGAGUGAUGAAGGUCUUCGGAUCGUAAAACUCUGUUAUUAGGGAAGAACAAAUGUGUAAGUAACUAUGCACGUCUUGACGGUACCUAAUCAGAAAGCCACGGCUAACUACGUG
Molecule: ribosomal RNA, 498 nt
Filed under: uncultured bacterium
Lineage: Bacteria
Description: partial 16S ribosomal RNA
Rfam family: Bacterial small subunit ribosomal RNA
Source: RNAcentral